Claviceps cyperi is the source of this 84-nucleotide non-coding RNA. The record is from the annotation of a GenBank genome assembly. NCBI's taxonomy places the organism in Eukaryota, Fungi, Ascomycota, Sordariomycetes, Hypocreales, Clavicipitaceae.
GGGCGAAUGGUUUAGUGGUAUAAUACUCCCUUAGCAUGUAUAAUCGUCUGGGAGUGGUCCAGGGUUCGAUUCCCUGUUCGUCCA